UACGUAGGGGGCGAGCGUUGUCCGGAUUUAUUGGGCGUAAAGAGCUCGUAGGCGGCUUGGCAAGUCGGGUGUGAAACCUCCAGGCUCAACCUGGAGACGCCACUCGAUACUGCCAUGGCUAGAGUCCGGUAGGGGACCACGGAAUUCCUGGUGUAGCGGUGAAAUGCGCAGAUAUCAGGAGGAACACCGGUGGCGAAGGCGGCGUUCUGGACUGCAACUGACACUGAUGAACGAAAGCCAGGGGAGCAAACGGG
This 254-nucleotide ribosomal RNA is filed under the name uncultured bacterium. Its description in RNAcentral is "partial 16S ribosomal RNA". It matches the Rfam family "Bacterial small subunit ribosomal RNA", at positions 524 to 776 of the family's 1533-position model. The record is from RNAcentral.